UACGUAGGGGGCGAGCGUUGUCCGGAAUUACUGGGCGUAAAGGGCGUCUAGGUGGCACGAUGCGUCGGGAGUGAAAUACGUGGGCUCAACCCGCGGCACGCUUUCGAAACGGUCGAGCUAGAGGGCCGGAGAGGGAAGCGGAAUUGCCGGUGUAGCGGUGAAAUGCGUAGAGAUCGGCAGGAACACCAGUGGCGAAGGCGGCUUCCUGGACGGUACCUGACACUGAAGCGCGAAAGCGUGGGGAGCGAACGGG
RNAcentral lists this ribosomal RNA (253 nucleotides) under uncultured organism. RNAcentral describes it as "partial 16S ribosomal RNA". It matches the Rfam family "Bacterial small subunit ribosomal RNA", at positions 524 to 776 of the family's 1533-position model. The record is from RNAcentral.